CAGCAGUAGCCGCGGUAAUACGAAGGGGGCUAGCGUUGUUCGGAUUUACUGGGCGUAAAGCGCACGUAGGCGGAUCGAUCAGUCAGGGGUGAAAUCCCAGAGCUCAACUCUGGAACUGCCUUUGAUACUGUCGAUCUGGAGUAUGGAAGAGGUGAGUGGAAUUCCGAGUGUAGAGGUGAAAUUCGUAGAUAUUCGGAGGAACACCAGUGGCGAAGGCGGCUCACUGGUCCAUUACUGACGCUGAGGUGCGAAAGCGUGGGGGGCAAACAGGAUUAGAGACCCCCGUAGUCCCUGUCUCUUAUAC
Molecule: ribosomal RNA, 304 nt
Filed under: uncultured bacterium
Lineage: Bacteria
Description: partial 16S ribosomal RNA
Rfam family: Bacterial small subunit ribosomal RNA
Source: RNAcentral